UAAGCGGAGGAAAAGAAACCAACAGGGAUUGCCCCAGUAACGGCGAGUGAAGCGGCAAAAGCUCAAAUUUGAAAUCCUGCGGGAAUUGUAAUUUGAAGGUUUCGUGGUCUGAGUCGGCCGCGCCCAAGUCCAUUGGAACAUGGCGCCUGGGAGGGUGAGAGCCCCGUAUGGCGCACGCCGACUCUUUGCACCGCGGCUCCGACGAGUCGAGUUGUUUGGGAAUGCAGCUCUAAGUGGGUGGUAAAUUCCAUCUAAAGCUAAAUAUUGGCGAGAGACCGAUAGCGAACAAGUACAGUGAUGGAAAGAUGAAAAGCACUUUGAAAAGAGAGUGAAACAGCACGUGAAAUUGUUGAAAGGGAAGGGCUUGCAAGCAGACACGGUUUUACCGGGCCAGCGUCGAAAAGGGGGGAGGAACAAGAACUCGAGAAUGUGGCGCGCACCUUCGGGCGCGCGUGUUAUAGCUCGUGUUGACGCCUCCAUCCCUUUUCGAGGCCUGCGAUUCUAGGACGCUGGCGUAAUGGUUGCAAGCCGCCCGUCUUGA
This 541-nucleotide ribosomal RNA is filed under the name Clavispora lusitaniae. Its description in RNAcentral is "eukaryotic LSU rRNA". It matches the Rfam family "Eukaryotic large subunit ribosomal RNA", at positions 47 to 657 of the family's 3401-position model. The record is from RNAcentral. Lineage: Eukaryota; Fungi; Ascomycota; Pichiomycetes; Serinales; Metschnikowiaceae.